CUCAACCAACACGCGUCUAUCAAUUUUCAAACGUAGCUUAGAUAUGACCACAUCCACUUCCGCAUGAAGCCUCGUGUCUAAAUCUAGGCCAUAAAUGUCUGAGACCUAUAAUAUGUUGAUGAAAAACAGUAUAAUAGGGGACCUUUAAAUGACUGAGUGACAACAUCAGUCUACUGCCUCCCACUGCACGAACACAAUAACAACAUACACACCGCCCAGACAGCCCACUCACACAUAUCUGGCAUUCCUUACGUGGCUGACCACAAAGAUGGGCGAUCAGGCAUCCCUGUUAUGACCGUAAAUACACAGGCAUACACGCCUUUGCUACCACAUGACUGAUCCCUUCUACCGCCACACAAUGCACUGCUAACACCGGCGAUCAAUACAUCGACAGACAGCGAUAAGCUUGGACCAGACAGAGAGAUGAUUCAGCGGUCUUCAGCAUGAGAAAGUUGUAAGAGGACACUGUGGGCUCUGUUGCUGUUGGCACACUCUGGUGUUUUCAGGAUCUCAGAGCGAGUGUGUGCGCUGUUUGGAGAUAGACGAGCUGCUCUCCUACACAUCCAGCGCUUCCCUCUCCCAUCCAAACAAUGUCCCACUGCUCAGGAACAUCCUUCCCAUCGCAAACCAAACACUUUAAAAAAAAAAAAAAAAAAUUUCCAGGUUUCCACCAGUAUGUGGCAAGCUGGGCGUAAGCUCAGUGGAUAGUAUGAUGGACUUUGAAUCAGGGGAUAGCAAGUUCGAGUCCCACUGCAGUCAGCAUGUCGUUGUGUCCCUGGGCAAGAA
Molecule: long non-coding RNA, 786 nt
Organism: Trematomus bernacchii (emerald rockcod)
Lineage: Eukaryota; Metazoa; Chordata; Actinopteri; Perciformes; Nototheniidae
Exons: 3
Source: RefSeq, a predicted model, not a curated record